UCCCGAUGAUGGGUAAGGAGCAUUAUC
This 27-nucleotide non-coding RNA is filed under the name Mus musculus (house mouse). The record is from RNAcentral. Lineage: Eukaryota; Metazoa; Chordata; Mammalia; Rodentia; Muridae.